UGCAACAGAGAGUUCGAUUAUGGCUCAGAUUGAACGCUGGCGGGAUGUUUUACGGCCGAACGGCAGCAAUGGACUUUCGGUCUGGUGGCGAGUGGCGAACGGGUGAGUAAUGUAUCGGAACGUGCCUAGUAGCGGGGGAUAACUACGCGAAAGCGUAGCCAUUACUCUCAUACAGCCCCUUCGGGGGAAAGCGGGGACCUUCGGGCCUCGCAAUUAAUAGAGCGGUCACGAUAUCGAUUAGGCCAGCUGUGGGGUAACGGCUCACCAAGGCGACGAUCCGUAGCUGGUUUGAGAGGACGACCAGCCACACUGGGACUGAGACACGGCCCAGACUCUCACGGGAGGCAGCAGUGGGGAAUUUUGGAUAAUGGGGGAAACCCUGAUCCAGCCAUCCGCGUGUGCGAGAUGAAGGCUCGGGUUGUAAAGCACUUUUGGCAGGAAAGAAACGGCACGGGAUAUCACCCCGUGCAACUGACGGUACCUGCAGAAUAAGCACCGGCUAACUACGUGCCAGCAGCCGCGGUACGGCCGUAGGGUGCAAGCGUUAAUCGGAAUUACUGGGCGUAAAGCGUGCGGCAGGCGGUUCGGAAAGAAAGAUGUGAGAAUCCCAGAGCUUAACUUUGAACUGCAUUUUUAACUACCGAGCUAGAGUGUGUCAGAGGAGGGAAUUCCGCGUGUAGCAGUGAAAUGCGUAGAUAUGCGGAGGAACACCGAUGGCGAAGGCAGCCUCCUGGGAUAACACUGACGCUCAUGCACGAAAGCGUGGGGAGCAACAGGAUUAGAUACCCUGGUAGUCCACGCCCUAAACGAUGUCAACUAGCCGUUGGGGCCGGGCCUUGGUAGCGCAGCUAACGCGUGAAGUUGACCCUCGCCUGGGGAGUACGGUCGCAAGAUUAAAACUCAAAGGAAUUGACGGGGACCGCCCGCGUACAAGCGGUGGACAUGACGAAUUGAUGCAACGCGAAAAACCCUUACCUACCCUUGACAUGUCUGGAACCGAAGAGAUCGGGGAAGGUUCGCGUGAGAACCGGGAACACAGGUGCUGCAUGGUUGUCGUCAGCCUGUAAGUCAGAGAUGUUGGGUUAAGUCCCGCAACGAGCGCAACCCUUUGUCAUUAGUUGCUACGAAAGGGCACUCUAAUGAGACUGCCGGUGACAAACCGGAGGAAGGUGGGGAUGACGUCAAGUCCCUACGGCCCUUAUGGGUAGGCUUCACACGUCAUACAAUGGUCGGGACAGAGGUCGCCAACCCGCGAGGGGGAGCCAAUCCCAGAAACCCGAUCGUAGUCCGGAUCGCAGUCUGCAACUCGACUGCGUGAAGUCGGAAUCGCUAGUAACGCGGAUCAGCAUGUCGCGGUGAAUACGUUCCUGGUCUUGUACACACCGCCCGUCACACCAUGGGAGUGGCUCUACCAGAAGUAGUUAGCCCAACCGUAAGGAGGGCGAUUACCACGGUAGGAUUCACAUGACUGGGGCAGUCGUAAUAAGGUAG
RNAcentral lists this ribosomal RNA (1491 nucleotides) under uncultured Bordetella sp. RNAcentral's name for it is "partial 16S-23S ribosomal RNA intergenic spacer". It matches the Rfam family "Bacterial small subunit ribosomal RNA". Lineage: Bacteria; Pseudomonadati; Pseudomonadota; Betaproteobacteria; Burkholderiales; Alcaligenaceae. The record is from RNAcentral.